RNAcentral lists this transfer RNA (69 nucleotides) under Bos taurus (domestic cattle). It matches the Rfam family "tRNA". From Rfam's summary of the family: Transfer RNA (tRNA) molecules are approximately 80 nucleotides in length. Their secondary structure includes four short double-helical elements and three loops (D, anti-codon, and T loops). Lineage: Eukaryota; Metazoa; Chordata; Mammalia; Artiodactyla; Bovidae. RNAcentral also lists the same sequence under 4 other names. The record is from Rfam by way of RNAcentral.
CCUGGUGGCUCAGACGGUGAAGUGUCUGCCUGCAAUGCAGAAGACCAGGGUUCGAUCCCUGGGCCAGGA